UCCUGGCUCAGAUUGAACGCUGGCGGCAUGCUUUACACAUGCAAGUCGAACGGUAACAGGUUAAGCUGACGAGUGGCGAACGGGUGAGUAAUGCAUCGGAACGUGCCCGAUCGUGGGGGAUAACGCAGCGAAAGCUGCGCUAAUACCGCAUACGAUCUGAGGAUGAAAGCGGGGGACCGUAAGGCCUCGCGCGAUCGGAGCGGCCGAUGUCAGAUUAGGUAGUUGGUGGGGUAAAGGCUCACCAAGCCAACGAUCUGUAGCUGGUCUGAGAGGACGACCAGCCACACUGGAACUGAGACACGGUCCAGACUCCUACGGGAGGCAGCAGUGGGGAAUUUUGGACAAUGGACGCAAGUCUGAUCCAGCCAUUCCGCGUGCAGGAUGAAGGCCCUCGGGUUGUAAACUGCUUUUGUACGGAACGAAAAGGUCUCUAUUAAUACUAGGGGCUCAUGACGGUACCGUAAGAAUAAGCACCGGCUAACUACGUG
Molecule: ribosomal RNA, 488 nt
Filed under: uncultured bacterium
Lineage: Bacteria
Description: bacterial SSU rRNA
Rfam family: Bacterial small subunit ribosomal RNA
Source: RNAcentral